RNAcentral lists this unclassified non-coding RNA (314 nucleotides) under plant metagenome. RNAcentral's name for it is "partial contains 5.8S ribosomal RNA, internal transcribed spacer 2, and large subunit ribosomal RNA". The stretch from base 1 to 105 matches the Rfam family "5.8S ribosomal RNA", at positions 50 to 154 of the family's 154-position model. The record is from RNAcentral.
GAAAUGCGAUAAUUAAUGUGAAUUGCAGAAUUCAGUGAAUCAUCGAGUCUUUGAACGCACAUUGCGCCCCCUGGUAUUCCGGGGGGCAUGCCUGUCCGAGCGUCAUUGCUGCCCUCAAACACGGCUUGUGUGUUGGGCUUCCGUCCCUGGCAACGGGGACGGGCCCAAAAGGCAGUGGCGGCACCAUGUCUGGUCCUCGAGCGUAUGGGGCUUUGUCACCCGCUCCCGUAGGUCCAGCUGGCAGCUAGCCUCGCAACCAAUCUUUUUAACCAGGUUGACCUCGGAUCAGGUAGGGAUACCCGCUGAACUUAAGC